This 253-nucleotide ribosomal RNA is filed under the name uncultured bacterium. RNAcentral describes it as "partial 16S ribosomal RNA". It matches the Rfam family "Bacterial small subunit ribosomal RNA", at positions 524 to 776 of the family's 1533-position model. The record is from RNAcentral.
UACGGAGGGUGCAAGCGUUGUCCGGAGUUAUUGGGUUUAAAGGGUGCGUAGGCGGCCCGUUAAGUCAGCGGUGAAAUCCCGGGGCUCAACCCCGGAACUGCCGUUGAUACUGGCGGGCUUGAGUUCGGUGAAGGCGGGCGGAACUGGCGGUGUAGCGGUGAAAUGCUUAGAUACCGCCAAGAACCCCGAUUGCGUAGGCAGCUCGCUGUGCCGAAACUGACGCUGAGGCACGAAAGCGUGGGGAGCGAACAGG